ACCGCCCGUCAAGCGAUGGAAGCUGGGAGCACCCGAAGUCGACGUACCAACCCGCAAGGGAGGCAGUCGCCGAAGGUGAGACUAGUAACUGGCGCU
Molecule: ribosomal RNA, 96 nt
Filed under: uncultured bacterium
Lineage: Bacteria
Description: partial 16S ribosomal RNA
Rfam family: Bacterial small subunit ribosomal RNA
Source: RNAcentral